Long non-coding RNA from Oryzias javanicus (javanese ricefish), 2593 nucleotides. NCBI's taxonomy places the organism in Eukaryota, Metazoa, Chordata, Actinopteri, Beloniformes, Adrianichthyidae. The record is from Ensembl.
CAAAUGCUGAUGGCUUUAUUUGAAGCUGAAAUAAGUGGGAGUGUAAGAUACACAAAGGUUUAGAGAGCAUGGUGUUUCAAGUGAGUUGUCUUUAAAUCCAAUGGUUUGAGGGUUUAAGCCUGAAGCAAGGGUCACUUGGGGUGUUUGUCCAGGCCAAAGGCCGAAGGUCAAAGCCCAGACAUGGGGUUUGGUCAGUGCAAAGCUCAGAGGGGCGUGGAGAUUUGAGAGUGAAACGAGGUCAACGGAGAAUUCAUUCGGCGUCAGAGUCACCAGCAGCACCAGUGAUGGUGUAGGUCUGUUCCUGGUGGUCCAUCUCCAGCACAUCAUCCUCUUUUUUAAUUGUUCUGUAGAGGAGAAGAAAGAGAUGUUUUUUAAAGAUGUGAGUUCACCUAAAUCCUGCUUCUCACAGAACUAUCAUCAUAGUCUUUAAGAAUCCAGACACUUUCUAAGCAUGAAUGUUCCAUCAGGGAAAAGAUACCUGGUGGUACCUUUACCUAAUAAGCACUGUCCUUCUCUCCGUCAGCUCCACAGCCUGCUCUGCAUAGGUUUCAAUGUUGCCAUCAUAUCCAUCCGAUCCAAAUCCAAUUCUGGCCCCUUUGCCUCCACCAAUUUUCCCCAUUCCUUUAGAAUCUAGUAAAGUGCUUCCAUCCCCAAGGCUUUUCCCUUCACCUGUAACACCAUGUCCUCUUUCAGGGUCGUGACCUAUCCCUGUCAAGCCAAUCAUGCUGGCAGCUAAGGCUGCAGCGUCCCCACCUACUGCUAUUCCAGUGCUGCCACCUUCAAUACUGAAUCCAGACUUUCCCAAAUGAGCGGCAGCAGAAUCCAAGUCAGCCCCAGAACUCAGACAUCCAGCUUGAGCGUCAAGACUUCCAACUUGAGCACCAAGACCUCCAGUCCCAACACCAAGACCUCCAGCCUGAGCACCAAGACCUCCGGGUCCAACACCAAGACCUCCGGGUCCAACACCAAGACCUCCAGGGCCAACACCAAGACCUCCGCCCUGAACACCCAGACCUCCAGGUCCAACACCAGGACCUCCAGCCUGAACACCCAGACCUCCAGGUCCAACACCAGGACCUCCAGCCUGAACACCCAGACCUCCAGUCCCUACACCAAGACCUCCGCCCUGAACACCCAGACCCCCAGGUCCAACACCAGGACCUCCAGCCUGAACACCCAGACCUCCGGUCAACACCAAGACCUCCAGCCUGAACACCCAGACCUCCAGUCCCACACCAAGACCUCCGCCCUGAACACCCAGACCCCCAGGCCCAACACCAAGACCUCCAGCCUGAGCACUAAGACCUCCAGCCUGAACACCCACACCUCCAGUCCCAACACCCAGACCUCCAGCCUGAGCAUUAAGACCUCCAGCCUGAACACCCAGACCUCCAGCCUGAACACCCAGACCUCCAUCUAGAGCACCAAGACCUCCAGCCAGAGCAUCAGAACUUCCAGCCCCAACACCCAGACCUCCAACAACAAGACCUCCAGCCUGAGCACCCACAGUUCCAGCACCAAGACCUAAACCUCCUCCCUGAGAGACCAAGCCUCCAGCCCCAGAACGGACACCAUCACCCUCUCCUCCAGUGCCAGUGUCAGGAACAAAGUCUCCAGAAGCCAAGCCUGCUCCUUGACGGCCGCCAGCAGUACCCACACCCCCAGUAGUUGCUCUAACAUCUCGAGUCUCAGCUCCAAAUUCAUGACUACCAGCCAUGACCUCCUCCCCUACUUUAGUCGAAAUAUCCAUCCGGCCACUGUGACCUUGAGAAUCGGUUCUAUUAGCAAGGCCAUCGAUGUCAGGAGCAGCUGCCAUUCCUCUCGUAGCUAGGGCUCUACUUGUUUCUCGGUCCCCCCCAACGCCUCCAAGACCAUCUCUACUGCCUCCCAUCGGUCCCCCGCCCGUUCCACCUACACCGUCCAUGCUUCCUCCACUGAGGCUCACACCAGCACCAACAGCACUCAUGCUACAGCUGGUAAGAGACAAGGUUUGGAUCAUGCCAGAGAGCCGCAGGUCUUCACCCUCAAUCAGUUUCCUGCAAGACAAACAGAAAAAGUCACGUGUGAUUAUUCUGUGAACAAAUGACAGCCUUUAUGGCUGCUCUUCAUCUACCUGUAAGUUGUGAUUUCAAUCUCCAGAGCCAUCUUGAUAUUCAGUAGUUCCUGGUACUCGCGCAGGUGCAGUGCAAUUUUCCCCUUGGUGGAUUUCAGCUCAAGCUGGAGGGCUUCAAUUCGAGCCUGUUGGUUAAGAACAUGCAUCCAAUAACCCAGUAAAUGAGAGGUCAGGCCAAUAAAGCUUAGACCUAUAGACACAAACUGGUCAGUCUUACCUGCAGGUCCUCCAGUUCCUUCUUGUACUUUUCUUGCAUCUCUCUGAUCUGAGCUUCAAGAGCUUCAUUUUUAGUCCUCAUGGCGUCCAAAUCACGUUCUUUAUUUUGGAUCUGGGGAUAUUGUUUUAUUUAUUUUUUCAUUUUGUUGCCCAAAUUAGUUUUUAUUUUUAUUUUUUCUUCUGUCACUUUAAAUCCGGGGUGUCAAACUCAACCGCACAGGGGGCCAAAAUCCAAAACACACCUUAGGUCGCGGGCCGAACAGG